UAGGGAAUCUUCCGCAAUGGGCGAAAGCUUGACGGAGCAACGCCGCGUGAGUGAUGAAGGUCUUCGGAUCGUAAAACUCUGUUAUUAGGGAAGAACAAAUGUGUAAGUAACUAUGCCCGUCUUGACGGUACCUAAUCAGAAAGCCACGGCUAACUACGUGCCAGCAGCCGCGGUAAUACGUAGGUGGCAAGCGUUAUCCGGAAUUAUUGGGCGUAAAGCGCGCGUAGGCGGUUUUUUAAGUCUGAUGUGAAAGCCCACGGCUCAACCGUGGAGGGUCAUUGGAAACUGGAAAACUUGAGUGCAGAAGAGGAAAGUGGAAUUCCAUGUGUAGCGGUGAAAUGCGCAGAGAUAUGGAGGAACACCAGUGGCGAAGGCGACUUUCUGGUCUGUAACUGACGCUGAUGUGCGAAAGCGUGGGGAUCAAACAGG
RNAcentral lists this ribosomal RNA (429 nucleotides) under Actinomycetes bacterium. RNAcentral describes it as "Actinobacteria bacterium partial 16S ribosomal RNA". It matches the Rfam family "Bacterial small subunit ribosomal RNA", at positions 355 to 776 of the family's 1533-position model. Lineage: Bacteria; Bacillati; Actinomycetota; Actinomycetes. The record is from RNAcentral.